GAUGAACGCGGGCGGCGUGCUUAACACAUGUAAGUCGAACGAAGCUGCCCAAAGGAAGUUUUCGGAUGGAAUUUAGGUAGACUUAGUGGCGGACGGGUGAGUAACGCGUGGAUAACCUGCCUUAUACAGGGGGAUAACGGAGAGAAAUUUCCGCUAAUACCGCAUAAGACCACAGCACCGCAUGGUGCAGGGGUAAAAUAUUUAUAGGUAUAAGAUGGAUCCGCGUCCGAUUAGCUAGUUGGUGAGGUAAAGGCCCACCAAGGCGACGAUCGGUAGCCGGCCUGAGAGGGUGAACGGCCACAUUGGGACUGAGACACGGCCCAAACUCCUACGGGAGGCAGCAGUGGGGAAUAUUGGACAAUGGGGGAAACCCUGAUCCAGCGACGCCGCGUGAGUGAAGAAGUAUUUCGGUAUGUAAAGCUCUAUCAGCAGGGAAGAAAAUGACGGUACCUGACUAAGAAGCCCCGGCUAACUACGUGCCAGCAGCCGCGGUAAUACGUAGGGGGCAAGCGUUAUCCGGAUUUACUGGGUGUAAAGGGAGCGCAGACGGCAAUGCAAGUCUGAAGUGAAAGGCGUGGGCUCAACCCAUGAACUGCUUUGGAAACUGUAUAGCUUGAGUGUCGGAGGGGUAAGCGGAAUUCCUAGUGUAGCGGUGAAAUGCGUAGAUAUUAGGAGGAACACCGGAGGCGAAGGCGGCUUACUGGACGACAACUGACGUUGAGGCUCGAAGGCGUGGGGAGCAAACAGG
This 748-nucleotide ribosomal RNA is filed under the name uncultured Lachnospiraceae bacterium. Its description in RNAcentral is "bacterial SSU rRNA". It matches the Rfam family "Bacterial small subunit ribosomal RNA", at positions 28 to 776 of the family's 1533-position model. The record is from RNAcentral. Lineage: Bacteria; Bacillati; Bacillota; Clostridia; Lachnospirales; Lachnospiraceae.